CCUACGUGAGUCAGCAGUGGGGAAUAUUGCACAAUGGGGGAAACCCUGCUGCAGCGACGCCGCGUGAGUGAAGAAGUAUUUCGGUAUGUAAAGCUCUAUCAGCAGGGAAGAAAAUGACGGUACUUGAUUAAGAAGCCCCGUCUAACUACGUGCCAGCAGCCGCGGGAAUACGUAGGGGGCAAGCGUUAUCCGGAUUUACUGGGUGUAAAGGGAGCGUAGACGGCAGCACAAGUCUGGAGUGAAAUGCCGGGGCUUAACCCCGGAACUGCUUUGGAAACUGUGCAGCUAGAGUGCAGGAGAGGUAAGUGGAAUUCCUAGUGUAGCGGUGAAAUGCGUAGAUAUUAGGAGGAACACCAGUGGCGAAGGCGGCUUACUGGACUGUAACUGACGUUGAGGCUCGAAAGCGUGGGGAGCAAACAGGAUUAGAUACCCUGGUAGUC
Molecule: ribosomal RNA, 440 nt
Filed under: uncultured bacterium
Lineage: Bacteria
Description: partial 16S ribosomal RNA
Rfam family: Bacterial small subunit ribosomal RNA
Source: RNAcentral